This 468-nucleotide ribosomal RNA is filed under the name uncultured bacterium. Its description in RNAcentral is "partial 16S ribosomal RNA". It matches the Rfam family "Bacterial small subunit ribosomal RNA", at positions 28 to 507 of the family's 1533-position model. The record is from RNAcentral.
GACGAACGCUGGCGGCGUGCUUAACACAUGCAAGUCGAACGGAAAGGCCCUGCUUUUGUGGGGUGCUCGAGUGGCGAACGGGUGAGUAACACGUGAGUAACCUGCCCUUGACUUUGGGAUAACUUCAGGAAACUGGGGCUAAUACCGGAUAGGAGCUCCUGCUGCAUGGUGGGGGUUGGAAAGUUUCGGCGGUUGGGGAUGGACUCGCGGCUUAUCAGCUUGUUGGUGGGGUAGUGGCUUACCAAGGCUUUGACGGGUAGCCGGCCUGAGAGGGUGACCGGCCACAUUGGGACUGAGAUACAGCCCAGACUCCUACGGGAGGCAGCAGUGGGGAAUAUUGCACAAUGGGCGGAAGCCUGAUGCAGCAACGCCGCGUGCGGGAUGACGGCCUUCGGGUUGUAAACCGCUUUCUCCUGUGACGAAGCGUGAGUGUCGGUAAUGGGUAAAGAAGCACCGGCUAACUACGUG